CUAUGCGCCUUGCCAGCCCGCUCAGUCAGAGUUUGAUCCUGGCUCAGAGCGAACGUUAGCGGCGGGCUUAACACAUGCAAGUCGAACGCGAAAGUUCCUUCGGGGAUGAGUAGAGUGGCGCACGGGUGAGUAACACGUAGGCAAUCUACCCUUGAGCGGGGGACAACUGCCCGAAAGGGCAGCUAAUACCGCAUAAGACCACGGCGGCUCCGGCCGCAGUGGGAAAAGCUGGCCUCUGCUUGCAAGCUAGCGCUUGAGGAUGAACCUGCGUAUCAUCAGCUAGUUGGUGGGGUAAUGGCCUACCAAGGCGAAGACGAUUAGCUGGUCUGAGAGGAUGAUCAGCCACACUGGCACUGGAACACGGGCCAG
RNAcentral lists this ribosomal RNA (369 nucleotides) under uncultured bacterium. RNAcentral's name for it is "bacterial SSU rRNA". It matches the Rfam family "Bacterial small subunit ribosomal RNA", at positions 1 to 334 of the family's 1533-position model. The record is from RNAcentral.